Molecule: non-coding RNA, 92 nt
Filed under: unclassified sequences
Description: Rhodo-rpoB RNA
Rfam family: Rhodo-rpoB RNA
Source: RNAcentral
UGAUCGGGCGUCACCCUUGGGCGGGAUGACUAGAAUAGAUCGAACACUCUGUCUCAAUGGGGCGUGUCGCCGUGACCCCAACGGUGGAUACG